UUGGAGGGCAAGUCUGGUGCCAGCAGCCGCGGUAAUUCCAGCUCCAAUAGCGUAUAUUAAAGUUGUUGCAGUUAAAAAGCUCGUAGUUGAACUUCGGAAUCAAUGGAUUGGUCAUGCCGUUGGUAUGUACUGGUCAUAUUGGUUCUCACCUUCUAAGGAACCAUAAUGUCAUUCAUUUGAUGUUUUGGGGAAUUAGGACUGUUACCUUGAAAAAAUUAGAGUGUUUAAAGCAGGCUAACGCUUGAAUACAUUAGCAUGGAAUAAUGAAAUAGGACAUCGCAUUCUAUUUUGUUGGUUUCUAGGAUCGAUGUAAUGAUUAAUAGGGAUAGUUGGGGGCAUUAGUAUUCAAUUGUCAGAGGUGAAAUUCUUGGAUUUAUUGAAGACUAACUACUGCGAAAGCAUUUGCCAUGGAUGUUUUCAUUAAUCAAGAACGAAAGUUAGGGGAUCGAAGACGAUCAGAUACCGUCGUAGUCUUAACCAUAAACUAUGCCGACUAGGGAUCGGAUGAUGUUAAUUUUUUAAUGACUCAUUCGGCGCCUUACGGGAAAC
This 549-nucleotide ribosomal RNA is filed under the name uncultured Glomus. RNAcentral's name for it is "SSU rRNA". It matches the Rfam family "Eukaryotic small subunit ribosomal RNA", at positions 548 to 1098 of the family's 1831-position model. Lineage: Eukaryota; Fungi; Glomeromycota; Glomeromycetes; Glomerales; Glomeraceae. The record is from RNAcentral.